CUCGUCGUUGCAAAAGAAUCCCCGUUCGUAUGGUUUGCCGAACAGGAAGAACAACAGCACCGAGGCGCCCACUGAAAACAGAAACGUGGAACGUACAACUUUAUCAACUCGAAUUACCAGGGGAAACCAGAGGGACAGUAAACUCGACAAGCUUAUUUUCACAAAUCGUUGGUCACCGAUGAAAUCGCGUCGCACAUCGGCAAGAUAUCGGCGAGAGACUACCGGUUUGCCUCCUUCUUUUUUUACCUAACAGCCAGUCCGAGGCUGCGAUAAUUCGAAAAUUGAACGCCAGUCGUUCUCUGUCGCAUGUCGCAUUUAUUCAAGCAACGAGUUUUCAUCAUUUGGAGAUUUAUACAGUGUACAGCCGGGACCGAAAAUGAACGCUUAAGUGGGAAGUGGUGUUAUUCUGCAAAUUGACGUCGAAAAAAAGAAAGAGAGACAGUCUCAAUUCCAAAAAUUUGGUGGAGAUAAGCGACGAACGCUUACGAGUAAAAAAAAGUGCGGUCACUUAUGAUGGCACCACUGUGUAUCUGUAUACUGUGCGAUGGCAAACGCAUCCAAGUCGAAAAAGUGGGCGGAAAAAUCACGAGUAAAGGUGAAAUUACAGCGUUAUUGGACGCGGUUACCCUUCGCUGUUUGCUCGAUGAAAAUCGUGAGAAGGCCUCGCCUCCGCCACUACCUGGAAAUCGCUCGACCGAGCUCAGCUAUUAAGAUAAUUGUCACGCUGGCUUUUAAAGUAAAACAGAGAGGAAGGGGCGAUACAGUGGGCAGCGGGCAGUAAGCAGCUCUAGCGACUCUCGCAAACAUCGCACGUGGUCAUUAUUUAUGCAGCAAACUGCAUACGUCCGAGCUGAUCGCGGUUGCAUAUACAUUUAGUACGGACUGGUUGAAGUUCCACGAUCAUUCGCCCCGGUAAUCGUGCCUCGAAUUUAUUGCCAGCGGCAGCUGGUAUUAUUUAGAAAUAUGCGGGAUAUACCGUGUGUUUUUCGAGCUAUUGGCACGAUGUUCGAAUUGCCGUUCCGAGAAAACCGCGUGGUUUUAUCGCUCCGUUGAAUAUAACCGACAACCGGAGAAAAAAAAAGUAACGUGUGGCACGAGUGGGCUUUUUUCAUACGAGGCUCAAAGAAGAAAAAAUGACUGUCGUAACAUUAUUAUUAUGUCCUAAGCGUAUCUACGUUCCGUGAAUUUUACGUAACGUCAAGUAUGUAAGUUAAGUAACAACAUACAUAUGCAUGAGAUUAAGAAAAAAUGAUUGUCAACUAUCAUAUCGACACGAGAUUAUCCAAUCGUCGAACUCGCACGAUCGUAUUAAAUCGAAUCGAGGAAAAUAAAGAGGACAGAAGAGAGUGGCGAUUGUGCACAUCAACAUUUGUAUGAACUUUGUCCACAGAUAUUAUACUUGUUACGUGAUUCAAGUAGAAAAAAAAAUUUCGCAAAUGAAGUAUAUGCGUUCAGAGACAACGCCCCAAGCAUCGUCGCGCAAUUCGAAAAUAACAAUAAACAUAAUAACUGCGCGAUUUUUCAACGAUCGAACUAAUGACGAAUUCUCUAUACGAUUUUAAACAUGUUUGUGUGACUUGCCUAUCACACAUAACG
This is a long non-coding RNA of Frieseomelitta varia, 1596 nucleotides long. RefSeq lists it as uncharacterized. The record is from RefSeq and is a predicted model, not a curated record. NCBI's taxonomy places the organism in Eukaryota, Metazoa, Arthropoda, Insecta, Hymenoptera, Apidae. The transcript is spliced from 3 exons.